Molecule: RNA transcript, 6080 nt
Organism: Pseudopipra pipra
Lineage: Eukaryota; Metazoa; Chordata; Aves; Passeriformes; Pipridae
Gene: POFUT4
Gene name: fucosyltransferase 11
Exons: 4
Source: RefSeq, a predicted model, not a curated record
GGGGCGGCGGGACCGGCCCGGGGAACGGGCAUGGGGGGCGCGGGGCCGCGGUGCGGGCCCGCGGGCCUGUGGGUGACGCUGGCCCUUGCCUGGGGCGCGGGGGCCGCGUUGGCCGCAGAGGGGCCGCCGGCGGGAGCGGCCGCGCCGGCGGAGCCGUGUGGGGCGGAGGGGUGGGCGCAGGACGCCGUCCCGCCGGGCGCGGCCUUCGUCGCCGCCGCGUCCUACCGCGGGCCCGGCAACAACGACACGCGGAGCAACAAGGCGCUGCCCAUCCUGCUGUGGUGGAGCGGGAGCCUCUUCCCGCACUUCCCCGGCGACACGGAGCGCAUCGACUGCCCGCGCGGGUCCUGCCUCGUCACCCGCAGCCGGCGGGUCGCCCGGCACCGCCGCACCAAGGCGCUCAUCUUCUACGGCACCGACUUCAGGGCGUACGAGGCGCCGCUGCCCCGCCUGCCCCACCAGACCUGGGCGCUCUUCCACGAGGAGUCCCCCAUGAACAACUACGUGCUCUCGCACCCGCCCGGCAUCCAGCUCUUCAACUACACGGCCACCUUCCGCCGCGAGUCCGACUACCCGCUGACGCUGCAGUGGCUGCCCGGCGCGGGGUACCUGCGGGGCCCGGCCGUGCCGCUGGCCGAGAAGGACGCGUGGCGGCGGAGGGGCUACGCGCCCGUGCUGUACAUGCAGUCCCACUGCGAUGUGCCCUCGGACAGGGACCGCUACGUGCGGGAGCUCAUGAAGUACAUCCAGGUUGACUCCUACGGGAAAUGCCUGCAUAACCGUGAGCUUCCCAGUGAACGACUGCGAGACACUUCUACAGCCACAACAGAAGAUUCUGAGUUUAUGACUUUUAUCGCCAGGUACAAGUUUCAUCUGGCCUUGGAGAAUGCCAUAUGUGAGGACUACAUGACGGAGAAGCUGUGGCGUCCCAUGCACCUGGGGGCUGUCCCAGUGUACCGAGGCUCCCCAGCUGUGCGGGACUGGAUGCCAAACAACCUCUCCAUCAUUCUUAUAGAUGACUUUGACAGCCCCCAAGAGCUGGCAAAGUAUCUUGAUUUCCUGGACAAGAAUGGAGAGGAAUAUUUGAAGUAUCUAGAGUAUAAAAACGUUGGUGGAAUCAAAAACCAGUUCUUGCUAGAGAGCUUGCAGAGGCGGGAGUGGGGCAUGAAUGACAUGACUCUGCCCAAUUACCUGAAUGGCUUCGAGUGUUUCAUCUGUGACAGGGAGAACAUCCGGGUCAAAGAGGAGCAGGAACACAAAAAGUCUCGCGGGAAAAUUCCAGCUCCCAGACCUCGCAUAGCUCAGUUCAAGCACAUGGGAUGUCCUGUGCCAACCCCUGGGUUUGGAAGUGUGGAAGACCUCGCUGAAGGAGACAGUUGGAAAGAAAUGUGGCUGCAGGAUUAUUGGCAAAGCCUUGAUCAGGGUGAGGCCCUCACAGCUAUGAUUCAUCGCAAUGAGUCGCAUCAAGGAAGAUUUUGGGACUAUAUGCAUGAGAUUUUUCUCAAGAGGACAAGGCAACACUGACCCAUCUUUGUAAGAGCUUGAUUUGAAAAUUGCGUUGAAAGUUGAGACUGUGAAUUCUUACCUCGCUUCAAAUGUUUGCCUUGAAAUACAAAAAAACCCCUCUCACAGAGACAGUUUUUUCUCAUGCAAGAAGUGAGUUUCUGUUAUGAUUGGAUUCCAGCAGUGGAGAUGUUAGCAACUGCUUUGCUUUGAUUUGAAUUUCAGCUCUCUGGUGUGAAGCUGCUUCUGACUUGCAGGUAUCAACAUGUGGGGCAAAAGAUCAGGGAUUUUUUUUUAAGUCUCCAGAAUAUUAAUUGUUUUUAUACGUAUUUUAUCAGUCACAUAUUCUCUUCAUUAAGAUGUACUUUUAGCUGCUAUUAACAAAUGGCUUUUCCAGUGAAGGAAUUACGAAAGACAAAUCUGUGGAGAGCAACUGUGCCUUACAAAAUUGCAGCAAUAAAGUCUCUUUGCCCCAAGAGUAACAGGAGGAAGUACCAAUAUAAGCAUGUCUAUCAUAGCAACUACUUAGUUCCUGAGGAGUGAUGUCCAAAGCCUCACUUUGCCGUCCUGCUCAGCAACACGAGCAUGUUUCCAACUAAUAGCAUUGAAGAUAUGGUGGUACAAGCUGAAGAGUAGCUAGCAAACUAGGUAAAAACUUCUUCUUGGGACCCUGAUUCAUUCAAUUGCUAAUUAACAACCAAGUAUUCCUUCACCACUGUUUAUUUUCUCAGUAUAUUACAAUCACCAGUCAACAAGGCUUUUUUGUUAGUCCUACAGAGUUUAUUUGUUUGUUGGUUUGCUCCAUGCCUGUACUACAGAAGGCUGUUGCAUUGAGCUUUAUGAUGGUUGCCAAGCCAGGAGUAUUUCUGAUUGUCAUGUAUCUUCUUAACGUGGGUAUGAAAGUAGUGCAGAUCUGAAGGUAACUUUAUCACAGAUAUUCUGGAGGUUUUGUCUGAGUUUUUCAAAAUACGACUUUCAGUUUGUAGUCACAUGAUCAUUUUCUGUGUUCUUAGUGUCUUCCUAGGUUUAACUAUUUUUUUACAGUCUUACAGGCGGUGAACUUGUCAAAAGGUAAUGAGUAACAGCUACCCUUCUUAGCAGUUGUGAUGCUCACCCAAGCCUUGCAUUUCUUUUGUAUCUGAGAGUUUUUUCUAUAGUAACAGAUCAUACUAGCUUUACCAUCUCCUGUAUGUCACACUACGUCCAUGAUUUAUAAACAGUGUCUCUUCCUUCUAUUAAUAUACUAAAUAUGUUUCACUUUUUGUACAUGGUGUGCAAGAAUUAGGGCUGAAAUAUUUAUUCCGGUCGUAGUGUGAAUGCGUUGUGUAGCUGCCAGGCAAACUGCAGGGGCAGGGGAGGUGGGAAUCCUCCCCAGCCUGGUUAAAGAGUUGUGGUUGCAGUUCUGUUUGAUGCUGACUGACCUUCACAACAUCUACUUCUCUGCACAGCAAGGACUGCCAAAUGUUGAAUAAGGUGGUUCUACCACCAUGGUCUUAGCUUUCAUCUCUCUCCUGUUAUUUGGAGGAGGCAGGAGGAGAAGCUGGGUCUCAUACCCUUGAAGAGUUUGCAAUCAAUUUACUUAAUAAUGCAUUUUAAAGGCUUGCUAUAUAGUGCCAACAAGUACUGCCAGUCUUAGCCAAAGUAAAUUCAAUUUACAAUCCUAGUUGUCUUUCUACUAAUGGAAGUAUGUGAAUGCAGACAAGGAGGAAGGUCACUGCAGCAAUUGCUAAUAUUUUGGAAAAAGGUUCCUGAUUUCUGUUCUUAACUGGAUUUCUCACUUUACUGCUUUAAAUUCAAAACAGUUAAUGGUGGCUGAAUGUAAUCACUCAUAUUGUGAGGCUACAUGAUACUCAGACAUGAUAGAUGUGAUAGAUGUAUUCGACAUCUAAAUCAUAUUCUUACAGUGCAGGUACUCGUAUUCAUAAAAACACACCAUUGAGACUAAUCAGGAAUUUUAGCAAAGAUGCCAAAUAUUGAGGAUGAUUAAGAGAUUGCUCCUGUAAACCCUUUGGUAGGCUCCUGCAAACUAGGGUGAGUGGCUUCACUGCUUAUCAUGCAUUUUGCCUGUUUACUGUGUGACUACAGGGAGGCUUUCAAAGCUGUCAGGAUAGCUUUAUUCAUUAGCAUUAAUGUUCUAAAAAUAGAUAUCUCCUUAUUACUGCUCACAUGAAACACUAGUACAUUCUGUUGAUGCUGUGUCUCAGAAUUGACAUGACAAGCUAGGAUAAGUUUAUGGCCUGCGAGAGGUGAGAGAGGAGAAAUAAAUGUCUGACAGAAGGUUAAAAAUCUAGCAGUCCAGUGCAUUGCAUUGGACAAGCUACAGCUCUCAUUCUCCUGCCAAAACUGUGAUACCUAGUGCUGCCUGUUUUUUCAGUAAGAAGCUGGGUAUUUUUUAUAAUGAAUUAGUAGUCUGUGUUUUCUGUCCUUUAGCAAGGACUUCAAUGUGUAGGAACCAUAUAACCUCACUGAAGUAUAGUGAUUUGAUUCCUAAUAUUGAUGAUUUCUAGAACUCAGAAAGAAUUGCCUUUUUUUAUUUCUGUCACUGUAGUAAUUUUUGAACUGAAAAAUUUCUGGGUCCCCUGUGAUGGUAAGUAGAAUGAGAACAAAGCAACAGUGGAUGUAUAUGUUUAGAGGGAAAGGAGAACGAGCUGCUUUCUCUGGAAAUGAUCUCCAGAAUGCAGCAGCUGGAGAAUCACAGCAGAAAUCCCCUCUUGCACCUUGGCAGAGGGUAGUUUUAAUGGUGUGGAAGAAAAGUAACUCCUAAAGGACUGGGAACAGGAUAAAUUGAAUUGAAACUCAGCCAUCAGGGACAUCUGUGUUUAAACAGGCUUUACUGUGUUAGACAAGCAGCCAUCUGCCUCUCUUCCUGACCUGCCAUACACACUCUUCAGCCACUGUCCCAAGAGAGCCACUCCCUUAAUCAUUAGUUGUCAUCCCUCUGGUUAUAUUUAAUUAAGAUUAUUGAUGGAUCUCCAGGCACCUUCUGAGAAGUUGUAUUAAUUGGAAACAUACAGGGUGGCAGAUUCCGUCAUUCUGCCCAGAGACCUCUACUGACAGGCUGAUAUUAAUCAGAGACAAAAUCCUUUUAGUGAUAUGAUGAACUGAGCCAAAACCUGUCAGGCAUUAACAAAUUUUACCUUUCUUUAUGAUUCAUUGUCUCAGAGCUGGCAGUGAGAGAUAUAUGGCCCUGCAGAGGGAUUAGGAAGGGUGGAGAAGAAUGGAGCUGCAGGAUUUGUUCCAGAGCUCUGACACCACUGGCAUAUUAAUUUGUAUACUGUUAUAUACAUUCUGUCCUGCAGAAAAUACCCAUUUAAUGCACAAGUGUCUCAACUAGAGAUGUUUCUGGGGAUCUUGGAAUGGAUCAGAGCAGAUCAUGAUAGUUUCUGGCAUCUCUGAGCAAAUAAGGAGGCAUCAGCUAAUUUGCUGGAAAUGGCUGGAUUUCUUAGAUCCUAGGAGUUAGGGAUUAGGGAUGGCAGUUCAAAACUACAGAGGUAGACAGAACAAUGCAGGGCAGCUGCAGCUGAUCUGAUUGAGAGCUCAGGAUAAAGUAGGCUGGUGUUGGAAUUGGGGCGGGGCGUGACAUGUCAGAAAAGAAAUUGCAUCUGUCAUGGUGCUAGUGAAUGCAUUUGUGCUAAUAAGAACAUUAAGUGCUAAUAUUGUCCAAACCCGAUAACUCAGCAGACAGGAGUUAAGUCAAAACCACCUGGAAUCUCACCAAAUGGGUUCGUUCACUACUAAAGUGGAGGUGCUUUAAAUUUUAAGGCAUCUCCAAUUAAAUUGGGUUAAGAAGGUCAGGGUGAGACAGUCGAGAAUAAAUUGUGGUAAGUGAGGGCAUUAUGAAGUGAUAUGAGACUAACUGGUGCAUUCUGGGUAAAUUUGGGUGAAUAUACUGGAAUUUACCUGGAAGCUGGAUCCAGGCAGUUCAAAAAGACAUGGAUAUCAACUCUAUUCUUUUUUCCCCAAUACAACUGAUUUCUUAACCUCAUCUCCUAAUUGUUUGUUAGGCAGUAUCUGGAGGGUUUACAUAGCUAAACCGGAAAGUGAAGGAUAGAUACAUGGUGUAAUUUCUCACCUCUGAAAGAGGUAUUUAAGACAACAAUCUCAUUUUAAGGGUGUAUUUUAUUACAGCAUUGUUAGCAUUGUAUUUAUUUGUGGCAUCGCAUUUGCUGUAACAUCAUACCUGGCUCUUACUCAGUUGUGAUAUAGAUUCUUUUUAAAUCUAAUACUCAUAGUUUAAUCUCUGUGGUUUAUUUUGAUUUUGACUAGCUGAAAUGCAGGCGAGGAUUCACCUUUAACUAUGCUGAUCUAAGAUAACAAGCUGUACAUGCAGUUAGACUUUCACAUGGUUUUUAUAGUUGUACGUUCAGAAUUCACAGUGAAACAUCUGUGUGGUUCACUGCUGAGAGAAUUUGGUUUCUGACUGUCCCUCUAAAGUCAGCACUUCUGUCCCUUCCAUUAGUGUCUCAGUGCUAUCAGCUAAACAAAAUACAGGCUAGAGAGAGACUUGGCUACUGAGUAACACACCCCUUCUGUAGUUCCACAUUCUCCCUUAAAAUAAAUGUUCAGUAUUAAUCAUG